UUUCACUUGGUAUUGGAUGCCCA
RNAcentral lists this non-coding RNA (23 nucleotides) under Arabidopsis thaliana (thale cress). The record is from RNAcentral. Lineage: Eukaryota; Viridiplantae; Streptophyta; Magnoliopsida; Brassicales; Brassicaceae.